GCCGCGGUAAUACGUAGGUGGCAAGCGUUGUCCGGAAUUACUGGGCGUAAAGAGCGCGUAGGCGGGCGCUUAAGUCAGGGGUGAAAACUGGCAGCUCAACUGCCAGCCUGCCUUUGAGACUGGGCGUCUUGAGGACAGGAGAGGAGAGCGGAAUUCCUAGUGUAGCGGUGAAAUGCGUAGAUAUUAGGAGGAACACCAGUGGCGAAGGCGGCUCUCUGGCCUGUAACUGACGCUGAGGCGCGAAAGCGUGGGGAGCGAACGGGAUUAGAUACCCCGGUAGUCCACGCCGUAAACGAUGGGUACUAGGUGUAGGAGGUAUCGACCCCUUCUGUGCCGUAGUUAACACAAUAAGUACCCCG
This 359-nucleotide ribosomal RNA is filed under the name bacterium enrichment culture DGGE band 61_7_F_Ac. RNAcentral's name for it is "bacterial SSU rRNA". It matches the Rfam family "Bacterial small subunit ribosomal RNA", at positions 514 to 871 of the family's 1533-position model. The record is from RNAcentral.